RNAcentral lists this ribosomal RNA (1283 nucleotides) under uncultured bacterium. RNAcentral's name for it is "bacterial SSU rRNA". It matches the Rfam family "Bacterial small subunit ribosomal RNA", at positions 64 to 1339 of the family's 1533-position model. The record is from RNAcentral.
GAGGGGCAGCGGGGUAGUGCUUGCACUACUGCCGGCGACCGGCGCACGGGUGAGUAACACGUAUGGAACCUGCCCGCAGCAGGGGGAUAAGCGGAAGAAAUUCCGUCUAAUACCGCGUAACAACGUUGGGAGGCAUCUCCCGAUGUUUAAAGAUUUAUCGGCUGCGGAUGGCCAUGCGGCGCAUUAGCUAGUCGGCGGGGUAACGGCCCACUGAGGCGACGAUGCGUAGGGGUUCUGAGAGGAAGGUCCCCCACACUGGUACUGAGACACGGACCAGACUCCUACGGGAGGCAGCAGUGAGGAAUAUUGGUCAAUGGCCGAGAGGCUGAACCAGCCAAGUCGCGUGAGGGAAGACGGCCCUACGGGUUGUAAACCUCUUUUGUCGGGGAGCAAAGCGAACCACGUGUGGUUCAUUGAGAGUACCCGAAGAAAAAGCAUCGGCUAACUCCGUGCCAGCAGCCGCGGUAAUACGGAGGAUGCGAGCGUUAUCCGGAUUUAUUGGGUUUAAAGGGUGCGCAGGCGGAGGUGCAAGUCAGCGGUCAAAUUGCGGGGCUCAACCCCGUACUGCCGUUGAAACUGCAUCCCUUGAGUGCGCGAGAAGUAUGCGGAAUGCGUGGUGUAGCGGUGAAAUGCAUAGAUAUCCACGCAAAAAUCCAAUUGCCAAGGCACCAUACCGGCGCGCAACGGACGCUCAUGCAGGAAAGCGUGGGUAUCGAACAGGAUUAGAUACCCUGGUAGUCCACGCAGUAAACGAUGAACACUAACUGUUCGGCCAGAAUGAUGGCUGAGUGGUACAGCGAAAGCGUUAAGCGUUCCACCUGGGGAGUACGCCGGCAACGGUGAAACUCAAAGGAAUUGACGGGGGCCCGCACAAGCGGAGGAACAUGUGGUUUAAUUCGAUGAUACGCGAGGAACCUUACCCGGGCUCAAACGACACAGGAAUACUUUUGAAAGGAGGUAGCCCUACGGGGUCUGUGUCGAGGUGCUGCAUGGUUGUCGUCAGCUCGUGCCGUGAGGUGUCGGCUUAAGUGCCAUAACGAGCGCAACCCCUAUCGCCAGUUACCAUCAAGUAAAGUUGGGGACUCUGGCGAGACUGCCGGCGCAAGCUGAGAGGAAGGCGGGGAUGACGUCAAAUCAGCACGGCCCUUACGUCCGGGGCGACACACGUGUUACAAUGGCAGGUACAGAGAGAAGCCAGGUGGCGACACCGCGCGGAACUCGAAAGCCUGUCUCAGUUCGGAUCGGAGUCUGCAACCCGACUCCGUGAAGCUGGAUUCGCUAGU